This 463-nucleotide ribosomal RNA is filed under the name uncultured bacterium. RNAcentral describes it as "bacterial SSU rRNA". It matches the Rfam family "Bacterial small subunit ribosomal RNA", at positions 28 to 491 of the family's 1533-position model. The record is from RNAcentral.
GAUGAACGCUGGCGGCGUGCUUAACACAUGCAAGUCGAACGAAGCGCCUUGGACAGAUUCUUCGGAUGAAGUCUUUGGUGACUGAGUGGCGGACGGGUGAGUAACGCGUGGGUAACCUGCCUCAUACAGGGGGAUAACAGUUAGAAAUGGCUGCUAAUACCGCAUAAGCGCACGGUACUGCAUGGUACAGUGUGAAAAACUCCGGUGGUAUGAGAUGGACCCGCGUUGGAUUAGCUAGUUGGCAGGGUAACGGCCUACCAAGGCGACGAUCCAUAGCCGGCCUGAGAGGGUGGACGGCCACAUUGGGACUGAGACACGGCCCAGACUCCUGCGGGAGGCAGCAGUGGGGAAUAUUGCACAAUGGGGGAAACCCUGAUGCAGCGACGCCGCGUGAGCGAAGAAGUAUUUCGGUAUGUAAAGCUCUAUCAGCAGGGAAGAAAAUGACGGUACCUGACUAAGAAGC